Non-coding RNA from Paramuricea clavata, 240 nucleotides. The record is from the annotation of a GenBank genome assembly. NCBI's taxonomy places the organism in Eukaryota, Metazoa, Cnidaria, Anthozoa, Malacalcyonacea, Plexauridae.
GGCGGUGCUGCAUCCACUCUAAAGCUCGGCAAAUCUGGUUGUACUUAUAAUGUCGACCUUCGUUUCUUUUGCAGACUACACAUCUUCGAACGUUCUUCUUGACGAUCUUCUGUCCACGAAUGAUCCAAAAUUGCUCACGCAACGAUGAAAGAGUUUGAUUUAUGCCGCUGUGACUUGUUCGAUGAUGGACUUCUUGUAUGACUAAAUUGGUAAGGUGGUGGUUCUUCGGCAGCAAAACAG